RNAcentral lists this long non-coding RNA (291 nucleotides) under Homo sapiens (human). RNAcentral describes it as "novel transcript". The record is from RNAcentral. Lineage: Eukaryota; Metazoa; Chordata; Mammalia; Primates; Hominidae.
CAGAAUUCAUUGUCGGAAGGAAAUAUAAACUGCUUUGGAAGAUCUGGUGUAGCUCCUUCGGAGACAUCUGUCUGGCGAUCAGCAUCACCAACGGUGAAGAAGUGGUAGUGAAGCCAGAAUCUCAGGGCCAGGCAUCCCCAGUUGCUGUACAAGAGCAGGCUUUACAAGAUGCUUCAAGGACCCUGAUCCAUCAAUAUGACUACACAUUUGAUUGGACAAAGUUAAAGCAGAAAGCAGCACAGCAGGCAGCCUCUUCUAGUGGGAGGGGCAGCAGGCCCAAACCCCAACAGG